Molecule: ribosomal RNA, 254 nt
Filed under: uncultured bacterium
Lineage: Bacteria
Description: partial 16S ribosomal RNA
Rfam family: Bacterial small subunit ribosomal RNA
Source: RNAcentral
UACGUAGGGUGCAAGCGUUAAUCGGAAUUGCUGGGCGUAAAGCGUGCGCAGGCGGUCUGUUAAGACCGAUGUGAAAUCCCCGGGCUUAACCUGGGAACUGCAUUGGUGACUGGCAGGCUUUGAGUGUGGCAGAGGGAGGUGAGAAUUCCACGUGUAGCAGUGAAAUGCGUAGAGAUGUGGAGGAAUACCGAUGGCGAAGGCAGCCUCCUGGGCCAACACUGACGCUCAUGCACGAAAGCGUGGGGAGCAAACAG